This 484-nucleotide ribosomal RNA is filed under the name uncultured bacterium. Its description in RNAcentral is "partial 16S ribosomal RNA". It matches the Rfam family "Bacterial small subunit ribosomal RNA", at positions 30 to 507 of the family's 1533-position model. The record is from RNAcentral.
AUUGAACGCUAGCGGGAUGCUUUACACAUGCAAGUCGAACGGCAGCGCGGACUUCGGUCUGGCGGCGAGUGGCGAACGGGUGAGUAAUGUAUCGGAACGUGCCCAGUAGCGGGGGAUAACUACGCGAAAGCGUAGCUAACACCGCAUACGCCCUACGGGGGAAAGCAGGGGAUCGUAAGACCUUGCACUAUUGGAGCGGCCGAUAUCGGAUUAGCUAGUUGGUGAGGUAACGGCUCACCAAGGCGACGAUCCGUAGCUGGUUUGAGAGGACGACCAGCCACACUGGGACUGAGACACGGCCCAGACUCCUACGGGAGGCAGCAGUGGGGAAUUUUGGACAAUGGGGGCAACCCUGAUCCAGCCAUCCCGCGUGUGCGAUGAAGGCCUUCGGGUUGUAAAGCACUUUUGGCAGGAAAGAAACGUCGCGGGCUAAUACCCCGUGGAACUGACGGUACCUGCAGAAUAAGCACCGGCUAACUACGUG